Homo sapiens (human) is the source of this 148-nucleotide non-coding RNA. It matches the Rfam family "Metazoan signal recognition particle RNA". From Rfam's summary of the family: The signal recognition particle (SRP) is a universally conserved ribonucleoprotein. It is involved in the co-translational targeting of proteins to membranes. The record is from Rfam. Lineage: Eukaryota; Metazoa; Chordata; Mammalia; Primates; Hominidae.
GCUGGGUGUGGUGGUGCACGCUUGUAGUCCCAGCUACUCGGGAGGCUGAGGCAGGAGGAUAACUUGAGCCCAGGAGUUCCAGGCUGCAGUGAGCCGUGAUCCCAUCACUGCACUCCAGCCUAGGCAACAGAGUGAGACCCUGUCUAUA